Non-coding RNA from Lolium perenne, 1516 nucleotides. The record is from RefSeq and is a predicted model, not a curated record. Lineage: Eukaryota; Viridiplantae; Streptophyta; Magnoliopsida; Poales; Poaceae.
CGGAAUGGAGAGGCAAGGGCAUGGCCGAGUCCGUGCGCGCAUGUGCAUUCUAUGCCUUAGCCGCAUCUCCCACUCUCACAUCUGGCCAAACAAAUAGACACACUGAAUCCUGCUACCUCCUGCAGGCCCCUACCCUCCAUGCAUGUACCCCUAGCCAUCACUAGACCUCCCUCUAAUUCUUUUUCCUUGGAACCCGAUGGUGGUGACCACCGUUCUCUCUCUUCUCCCUGCUGACCGUGCACGCCCAAACCCUGGACGAGACGAGACCAUCCUCUUCACACACGCUCGGAGAAACCAGGCCGUGCCCGAACCUGCACGCACGCGGCCUCCUUGCUUCUCAGUUCUUGUGUCGAACAGUUGGAAGGCGGACAUGACCCCUCCUUGACCUUCGAUUCCCUCGCGACCCCGACGUCCACCUCGUUCCAAAAACCUUCAGCACGGUCUGGAGACACCGCAGCUCCACCCCUGUUUCCCUCCUUGUCCCUUCCUCCUGGCCGCGCUCGCCGCCCUUGAUCGCCAACCCACGGAUGCCACGUCGAGGCAGAGCACGAUCUCGUCCUGGUCAAAAGCCUCCAACCCUCUCCACACCCUCCUCUCAUUCCUUCGUUGCUCUCCAGGACGCCCUCAGAAGCAGCUCUUCCUCCUACCUCGCUCGCCCUGAUCAAAGGAACGCCACGACCGUCGGUCUGCAUGUCGAUCGGCGUCGGCGUCGAGGCCGUCGCCUCACUCCGCGCGCCUUCUCUCUCUCUCGGUCUCCAUGCCUUCCUCUUAUGCGUGCGCGUCUGACCCGUCCCUUUUCCUUGCCAGGUAUCCAUGAGGACCGUCGCCGUCGAGUUUAGUUCUGGCAGUUGCUGUCCCGGACGUGGAGCACCGAGCACAACCUCGUCCACGAUGACCGUGAGCACACCGACGCGUCCUGGGCGACAUGCAGCACCAUCGCGCGAGGAAGCUCCGUGACGCCUCCGUCAUUCUUGAGCAGCCUCAGUGAGCUUUCACUUCGUCGCCGAUGUUGGAGUCCGUCUGCGCCGACGGGGAACGCGUCGCUGUCCGAGCCCACGCCCUGGAGCACCACCAGCUCCGCCCACCCGUCCGAGACAGCUAGGCUGAGCAGCAGCGCGUCUCAUUGCCGUCCGCCGCUCCUCCUCUGCGUUGUCUCCCUCGUCCCCGAGCUGCCCCGUCUCCGUCUUCGUCGCCGACGGGGCCGUGCUGCAUGUCGUCGUCUGCGUCACAGAGCUCACGAGGAGCUCAUCGCCGUCGCCGUGGCGCUGCUCGUACCGACGCGACCGUACGUCUCCGUCCGCGCGCGCAACCUACAGCCACGUCUGCGCGUCCAAGGCAGCCAGAGCUGGACACCUCUCGUCUCCACCUUCAUCCGUGACUUCCUCGUCGUUCCAGCAUCCCAAGAAUGCGAACAUUAUCGGAGAUGGAGAGGGUCUUGGUGAGAAUUUCGAAGAGGAAGGAAGAGCAGAGGAUCAUGAAGAACAAGUCCAGGGACAAAUAGCCAACCAAGGCAAGC